CCUCGCCGGGUAGGCGCGGCCGGACCGAGACCCCGGGGCCCGGCCCCCGCGUCCCCGCGAGCAGACUCCGGGGCAGGAUGCGCCCCUUGUGCGGGCGGCGCUCUCCUUCUCGUCCACGGGGCUUGUCGGCGCCGAGGUGACCCGGGCCCCAGGGCCCGUACUUACCCCAUGAAGCUUCCAGAGAAGGUCGCCCGCAAAGCAGAGUAGCCUGCCAGAUGUCAGGUUCUACUUAGUGACCCCUGCCUGAAGGUGGCUUCCCAGGAAGGUAAAAGAAGUUUGAGCUUCAGAGCAGUUGCAAGAUUCUUCUCUGAGCUGUACAAUGGCUGUAGCUGUGGACCAACAAAACCAUACUCCACACGUACAAGAGCUUCGAAUAGUGAAACCGGAAGAAGAUUCCCACAGGGGGCAGGACAUUUCCCUUCAAGACAGUGACCCUGGACCAGAGACCUCCUGUCAGCAUUUUCGGCAUUUCUGCUACCAAGAAGCGUUAGGACCCUGGAGGCCCUUGUUAACUCUGGACGCUCUGCCAUCGGUGGCCGAGACCAGAGGAGUGCACGGAAGAGCAGAUCCUGGUGCUGCUCGUCCUGGACCAGUUCCUGACUGUCCUUCCCCAGGAGACCCAGCUCUGGGUUAGACAGAAGCAUCCAGAGAGUGGAGAGGAGGCAGUGACCCUGGUGCAAGACUUGCAGAAGGAACCUGGAAGAGAGGGGCUGCAGGUGAGAUUCGGGAACCUAGCUCUGUAUAGUUUCAACAGAGGAACGUAGAGACAGCCACCUUGGGCUGCUGGCAUGUGAUGUGUGAGGUGUGUCAAGUGGGGUUUGCUUAUUCCCUGGGCCUGGGAGCUGCACCUUUCCCUUCAAGUUCAGACCGACUCUUCAGAGAAUGCACAUCGGAUGCUCUGAGUAUAGGUCCCUGCCGCUAGAUAGGAGGACCGUGUCAAGUGGCUUGAACGUCACUCUGAUCGAGGAGGAGCGCUUCUUUCUGGAGAACAGCUCUCACUCAGCAGCGGCCAGCCUGAAGCAAGGGCUUCGCUGGUCUUCAUGGACAAUAUCGAACCUUUGGGUCCUAUGAAAAAUAGCUGUGCUGUUGUCUUCCUUGAGUUUUGCCUGGGCGUUGACAGGAGCCGCACUGGAGAGCUGGGUGGGAAGACUGCAGGGACUUCACUCUGAAGUCGUCCACAUAUCCACUUUCCUUGCUGCCCUUGCAGAGAUUUGCAUAAAACUGGUUUCACCUUUGCUUCUUUGUGCCUUCGGAUGAUUAAUUAGUGCUACAGAAUUCUGACCACUUCCAGUCACUGAACAGAGGAGCAGGAACUCUCAGGAUCAGUACUGGGUUCCCUAAAUAUCCAUGUGAAGCAAGCACAGAAUCCAUGUGUCUGUUCCUGGCAAUGGUGAAGAACACACACAGCCAAAACCAGAACAGCUGAACCACAGCCCCCAAGCAGGACUCCGAUCCUUCCACAAGCCAUGAACAAAACCCACCUAGUCAGCCAGCACCUUGAUCCUGGACUUCAGCCUCCUAAACUGUGAGAAACAAAUGUCCAUUUUUAAGCCCCCCAGUCUGUGAUAUUGUCAUGGCAGCCUGAGCUGAUGAACACACCGAGUAAGCCCAGCUGACAGCCAAACCCACAUCCCAAAAUGGCCAGAAAUUGUGUAAGGUGAUAAAAAUGCUUUGGAAACAGGGGUGAUGGCUGUCAAUACUGCUAAUGUAGUAAUGUCACUGAAUUCUACAUUUAAAAAUGGAAAGAAUGGUGUUACAUAUACCUAUCACAAUCUUUAAAAAUUAAUAUACUAUACCAAAGUCCAUUAAACUAUCCACAAGGAUGAAUUGUAUGGUGUAUGUAUAUCUCAACACAAAGCUAUUUUUAAAAAAUCAGAGCCCAAACUGUGAGUGGUGAUCAAGUAAUUUCAAAAGCAAAAUUGCUGAAAACCCUCUAAUAAAUAUGACCAGGAGAGAUGGUAUGCAA
Molecule: non-coding RNA, 1966 nt
Organism: Manis javanica (Malayan pangolin)
Lineage: Eukaryota; Metazoa; Chordata; Mammalia; Pholidota; Manidae
Source: RefSeq, a predicted model, not a curated record